CAAUAGCGUAUAUUAAAGUUGUUGCAGUUAAAAAGCUCGUAGUUGGAUUUGUGGCGUACGGUGUGUUCCGGGCACUUGUUGUCUGAGUAACCUGCUGUUGCCAUCCUUGGGUGGAACCUGUGUGGCAUUAGGUUGUCGUGCAGGGGAUGCCCAUCAUUUACUGUGAAAAAAUUAGAGUGUUCAAAGCAGGCUUAUGCCGUUGAAUAUAUUAGCAUGGAAUAAUGAGAUAGGACUUUUUUGCUAUUUUGUUGGUUUGCGCAAAGAGGUAAUGAUUAAUAGGGACAGUUGGGGGUAUUCGUAUUCCAUUGUCAGAGGUGAAAUUCUUGGAUUUUUGGAAGACGAACUACUGCGAAAGCAUUUACCAAGGGUGUUUUCAUUAA
RNAcentral lists this ribosomal RNA (380 nucleotides) under uncultured eukaryote. RNAcentral describes it as "partial 18S ribosomal RNA". It matches the Rfam family "Eukaryotic small subunit ribosomal RNA", at positions 592 to 976 of the family's 1831-position model. The record is from RNAcentral.